RNAcentral lists this ribosomal RNA (253 nucleotides) under uncultured bacterium. RNAcentral describes it as "partial 16S ribosomal RNA". It matches the Rfam family "Bacterial small subunit ribosomal RNA", at positions 524 to 776 of the family's 1533-position model. The record is from RNAcentral.
UACGUAGGGGGCUAGCGUUGUCCGGAAUCAUUGGGCGUAAAGAGCGUGUAGGCGGUCCGGUAAGUCCGCUGUGAAAGUCCAGGGCUCAACCCUGGAAUGCCGGUGGAUACUGUCGGGCUAGAGUCCGGAAGGGGCGAGUGGAAUUCCUGGUGUAGCGGUGAAAUGCGCAGAUAUCAGGAGGAACACCAAUGGCGAAGGCAGCUCGCUGGGACGUGACUGACGCUGAGACGCGAAAGCGUGGGGAGCAAACAGG